This is a long non-coding RNA of Triticum aestivum (bread wheat), 1287 nucleotides long. RefSeq lists it as uncharacterized. The transcript is spliced from 7 exons. Lineage: Eukaryota; Viridiplantae; Streptophyta; Magnoliopsida; Poales; Poaceae. The record is from RefSeq and is a predicted model, not a curated record.
CCAGUCGGCCGGCCGGUUGAAUGCUGCCUCCGGCGAUCGCCGGCGUCCGAGCCUCAGAUGUCGCCGACCGUUGAUUGGAGACGAAAUGCCUCGCCUGCCAGCACUAUGUGAUCCGGCCGCAGUGCAGGCGUGCAGGCAAUGAAUUAAUGAUCAAAGGAGAGAAAAAUAUAGCUUGGCCAAGUCACGACAGCUAAAAAAUCACGAUGAGGCAUUUCAGCAUACUUCAAUGAUGAUAUUCUUGGAUAUCGACGGGAAACAUGGUGCUACUGUGGAUACCCUCAUCGUUAAACGGGGCUGUAUAGUCAGGUGUGUAUACAUGUGACAUGCUGUAAUCCUGAGAAGAUUGCAUGGAAGUACAGGUCAUAAGGUCAUUGCCGAAGUAGCUUUCGCCCUCACUCUUUACAGCGGGGCAUAAUUCUGCUGGCCGUGGCAUCCUAGCUUCCCCUUUCUGCUAAUUAAGUUCACCAGGCCUCCACCCAACCGAGUGAAGUGGAUAGUAGGUCCAGAAAAGUGGAGGCAGCCUUACAGAGCUCAGUGUGUGAUCAUUGUAAAGUUUAGUUAGAGCAAGUGCAAACCUCUUGCAACCAGGUAUCUAAAGUUACAUUCCAGUGGCUGAGAUGCAGAGAGUUGUUGGGUGUAGUUUCUUCCAUUUGUAUGCUCGCUGUGGAGAUGGAUCCUCUAUGUAGCAUGCACUGUCAGCUAUGUAGUGCACUUGUAGGAAUUAAUCACUUUUUUGCUAAAUUCAUCCGCCGAUUGAUCUUGCUAGCACUUUAGUGUGUGCUCAUGCUGUAUCAGCAUUUAGAAGCUCAGUUCUGACCAAUGAACGUUGAAUGAAUCCCAUCAGAAGUCUGGCCUGGGAGUUGGGAAGAAGUUCCUGUAAGCUGAACCGAAUUGCACCUGCCUUAGCCCUGGUUCUAUUUGCUACUGCUUACAUACAUGGCUGGGUUUCGGCGCUUCUUUGCCUUCUUUGAUGAGAAAUAAAAUGGCUUGCUUGUUCCUGCCGGAGAGGAAAAAAAAAAUCAAACCGUCGCAUUUGCUGUUGCUUCUGAAGAAAUGAUUUGGUUCUUCUUAUCAGGACAGGGAUAGUUCUGCACGCAGACGUCGGCGUCAGCUGCAUCUGCAAAAUAGCAACGCAAGAACAGAAAUCCUCAGAACAGAUUCAACUCAUCAAGAAGAAGAAGAAGAAGAAUGCGAUCAAGGACUCAAGGUGGUCUACUGUCUUACCGGCUGGCGCCUCUGAAAAGUCACAGAUGUGUAUCUUGCAGGCCAUCCUGCACGUGGCGGCGG